This 458-nucleotide ribosomal RNA is filed under the name uncultured bacterium. Its description in RNAcentral is "bacterial SSU rRNA". It matches the Rfam family "Bacterial small subunit ribosomal RNA", at positions 340 to 786 of the family's 1533-position model. The record is from RNAcentral.
UACGGAAGGCAGCAGUGGGGAAUAUUGCACAAUGGGCGAAAGCCUGAUGCAGCUAUGCCGCGUGUAUGAAGAAGGCCUUAGGGUUGUAAAGUACUUUCAUCGGGGAGGAAAAAACAAAACUAAUAAUUUUAUUUCUUGACGUUACCCGAAAAAGAAGCACCGGCUAACUCCGUGCCAGCAGCCGCGGUAAUACGGAGGGUGCUAGCGUUAAUCAGAAUUACUGGGCGUAAAGAGCACGUAGGUGGUUUUUUUAAGUCAGAUGUGAAAUCCCUGGGCUUAACCUAGGAACUGCAUUUUGAAACUGAAAUACUAGAGUAUCGUAGAGGGAGGUAGAAUUCUAGGUGUAGCGGUGAAAUGCGUAGAUAUCUGGAGGAAUACCUGUGGCGAAAGCGGCCUCCUAAACGAAUACUGACACUGAGGUGCGAAAGCGUUGGGGAGCGAAACAGGGAUUAGAUACC